Molecule: ribosomal RNA, 1262 nt
Filed under: Bacillus licheniformis
Lineage: Bacteria; Bacillati; Bacillota; Bacilli; Caryophanales; Bacillaceae
Description: bacterial SSU rRNA
Rfam family: Bacterial small subunit ribosomal RNA
Source: RNAcentral
CCGCGGACGGGUGAGUAACACGUGGGGUAACCUGCCUGUAAGACCGGUAUAACUCCGGGAAACCGGGGCUAAUACCGGAUGCUUGAUUGAACCGCAUGGUUCAAUUAUAAAAGGUGGCUUUUAGCUACCACUUACAGAUGGACCCGCGGCGCAUUAGCUAGUUGGUGAGGUAACGGCUCACCAAGGCGACGAUGCGUAGCCGACCUGAGAGGGUGAUCGGCCACACUGGGACUGAGACACGGCCCAGACUCCUACGGGAGGCAGCAGUAGGGAAUCUUCCGCAAUGGACGAAAGUCUGACGGAGCAACGCCGCGUGAGUGAUGAAGGUUUUCGGAUCGUAAAACUCUGUUGUUAGGGAAGAACAAGUACCGUUCGAAUAGGGCGGUACCUUGACGGUACCUAACCAGAAAGCCACGGCUAACUACGUGCCAGCAGCCGCGGUAAUACGUAGGUGGCAAGCGUUGUCCGGAAUUAUUGGGCGUAAAGCGCGCGCAGGCGGUUUCUUAAGUCUGAUGUGAAAGCCCCCGGCUCAACCGGGGAGGGUCAUUGGAAACUGGGGAACUUGAGUGCAGAAGAGGAGAGUGGAAUUCCACGUGUAGCGGUGAAAUGCGUAGAGAUGUGGAGGAACACCAGUGGCGAAGGCGACUCUCUGGUCUGUAACUGACGCUGAGGCGCGAAAGCGUGGGGAGCGAACAGGAUUAGAUACCCUGGUAGUCCACGCCGUAAACGAUGAGUGCUAAGUGUUAGAGGGUUUCCGCCCUUUAGUGCUGCAGCAAACGCAUUAAGCACUCCGCCUGGGGAGUACGGUCGCAAGACUGAAACUCAAAGGAAUUGACGGGGGCCCGCACAAGCGGUGGAGCAUGUGGUUUAAUUCGAAGCAACGCGAAGAACCUUACCAGGUCUUGACAUCCUCUGACAACCCUAGAGAUAGGGCUUCCCCUUCGGGGGCAGAGUGACAGGUGGUGCAUGGUUGUCGUCAGCUCGUGUCGUGAGAUGUUGGGUUAAGUCCCGCAACGAGCGCAACCCUUGAUCUUAGUUGCCAGCAUUCAGUUGGGCACUCUAAGGUGACUGCCGGUGACAAACCGGAGGAAGGUGGGGAUGACGUCAAAUCAUCAUGCCCCUUAUGACCUGGGCUACACACGUGCUACAAUGGGCAGAACAAAGGGCAGCGAAGCCGCGAGGCUAAGCCAAUCCCACAAAUCUGUUCUCAGUUCGGAUCGCAGUCUGCAACUCGACUGCGUGAAGCUGGAAUCGGCUAGUAA